UCAUUUUUGAAGCAAUUAGCUUGCUAAGAGUGGAAAUGUUGAUGACUUAGUGGCGGACGGGUGAGUAACGCGUGGGUAACCUGCCAUAUACAGGGGGAUAACACUUAGAAAUAGGUGCUAAUACCGCAUAAGCGCACAGUAUUGCAUGAGACAGUGUGAAAAACUACGGUGGUAUAUGAUGGACCCGCGUCUGAUUAGCUGGUUGGUGAGGUAACGGCCCACCAAGGCGACGAUCAGUAGCCGGCCUGAGAGGGUGGACGGCCACAUUGGGACUGAGACACGGCCCAAACUCCUACGGGAGGCAGCAGUGGGGAAUAUUGGACAAUGGGGGAAACCCUGAUCCAGCGACGCCGCGUGAGUGAAGAAGUAUUUCGGUAUGUAAAGCUCUAUCAGCAGGGAAGAAAAAAAUGACGGUACCUGACUAAGAAGCCCCGGCUAACUACGUGCCAGCAGCCGCGGUAAUACGUAGGGGGCAAGCGUUAUCCGGAUUUACUGGGUGUAAAGGGAGCGUAGACGGCAGGGCAAGUCUGAUGUGAAAGGUCGGGGCCCAACCCCGGGACUGCAUUGGAAGCUGUCCGGCUGGAGUACAGGAGAGGUAAGUGGAAUUCCUAGUGUAGCGGUGAAAUGC
RNAcentral lists this ribosomal RNA (628 nucleotides) under uncultured bacterium. RNAcentral describes it as "bacterial SSU rRNA". It matches the Rfam family "Bacterial small subunit ribosomal RNA", at positions 49 to 689 of the family's 1533-position model. The record is from RNAcentral.